This 71-nucleotide microRNA precursor is filed under the name Myotis lucifugus (little brown bat). RNAcentral's name for it is "miRNA (ENSMLUG00000017870.1)". The record is from RNAcentral. Lineage: Eukaryota; Metazoa; Chordata; Mammalia; Chiroptera; Vespertilionidae.
GUGUGGGUGCGGGCGUGUGAGUGUGUGUCGCUAGGGUCCACGCUCAUGCACACACCCACACGCCUGCACUC